Molecule: long non-coding RNA, 1504 nt
Organism: Dicentrarchus labrax (European seabass)
Lineage: Eukaryota; Metazoa; Chordata; Actinopteri; Moronidae
Exons: 3
Source: RefSeq, a predicted model, not a curated record
AUUUCCGGGUCAGGUGUUUGCCCGUGCAGAGCAGCGACUGCGUGCUCCGUGCUCCGUUUAGUCGCUGGCUCUCUCGAGCAGUAAGUGUCCUCUCUCUCUGUGUUACACUGAAUGCUAUCCUGUAGCUAAUGCUAGUGUGGUCAUAGGUAGAUGUCCGCUGCCGUGUGGGUUUCUCUCUCCCUCUCUCUCCCUCCCUCUCCCUCCCUUCCUCUCCCUCCCUCCCUCUCCCUGUGCAGGUUUGACUUUGAAAACAGGUAUGCUACCUUAAAUCUGGCCCCCAAAAUCUUUGAUAAAUCUAGCUCAGCCAUACUAAUUUUAUGUUUAUUGACAGGGAACGCUCAUCAGCUGGCCGAAAUCUACAGGUGGCGAUUUACCAGCUGAUUGGGGCCACUGCUGCUAAUUACAGUUUGUCUCUGCUGCUAUAUACGACGUUGUCUCCGGCAGCCACUUAUUCCUUGCUGCUCUGUGCUGCUUGGUGGUGGUGCUGCUGUUGUUGGCUUUUGGCUACAGCCGGCUACCACAGUGGACUGCCGACACCACACUUUUAACCUGUUUAUCCCUUUAAUAUUAGCCGAAUGAUUGUGAGGAGUUAAUCCCUUAGUUUAGUAUUACUUGUUUUGAUUAAGUGAAUUGUUUUGUUAAGUUUAUUUUGUGAAUUAUUUCAUGCUUUAUGGUGUGUAUUGUGUUGUACAUUUUGGGUUAAUUAUUUCCGUUGUAAAAUUCUUUUUUUUUUGUUUUCUUCUCAGUGGCUGCAGGUUGGUGGUGGUGCUGGUGACGUGGGUGGUGGUGUCUCUCCUUCUUGUGUGCUGUGCUUGCUUGGAUUUGGUGAUACCACAGUGUGUGACUGCCACGUGUGUCUGGGUGAACCCUUUUCCUUUAAUUUAGUGUUGUUGAGUCCCCUUCCUCUUCACCUGCUCUUUCCCCACCAGUAGGCCUCAGCCCCUGAUUAGGCUCCUUGUUUAUUAUUUGGGAUGAAUGCUAAAUUUUGUGAUAAUAUAUAUUUGAUUAAAGUAUUUUUGUAAACUGGGAACCACGUGUCUUGUCUGUUGAGUGGAACAAACCUGUUUUUUUGAUCAAUGUAAGAUGAUGAUGAUGAUGACGAUGAUGAUAAUUCUUCCUUGGGUGCAAUUCCCAAGGUGGCGUUGUCGAGCAACCUCAGAUUCACAUUGAGAGCCUCCCCGCCGCCACACCAGAAACACUUGUAAAAGUCAGCAGGAAGGCCGUCCAUGCCUGGAGCUCUGCCGCUCUGUAGGCUCAUUGUGGCAGUGUGGAGCUCCUGCAGCGUCACCUCUGCUGCCAGCUCGCUGUUGUCAGCCUCGCUGACCUGAGGGAGACCGCUGAGGAAGCUGCUGUGCACAUCUGGAUUAUGUGUCCACUCAUUCUUAAACAGCCCAAAGAAGAAGCGAGAGGGGGCGUCCAUCUGUGUGAUGUUCAUGAAGCUAGACCUGACCAGAGUGCCCCACACGGUAACCGGGGCAGGGGCAGCAUCCGCAGGUGGAUCCCC